AGUAACGCGUGGGUAACCUGCCUCAUACAGGGGGAUAACAGUUAGAAAUGACUGCUAAUACCGCAUAAGCGCACAGUGCUGCAUGGCACAGUGUGAAAAACUCCGGUGGUAUGAGAUGGACCCGCGUCUGAUUAGCUAGUUGGUGGGGUAACGGCCUACCAAGGCGACGAUCAGUAGCCGCCUGAGAGGGUGACCGGCCACAUUGGGACUGAGACACGGCCCAA
Molecule: ribosomal RNA, 224 nt
Filed under: uncultured bacterium
Lineage: Bacteria
Description: partial 16S ribosomal RNA
Rfam family: Bacterial small subunit ribosomal RNA
Source: RNAcentral